This is a long non-coding RNA of Zea mays, 440 nucleotides long. RefSeq lists it as uncharacterized. Lineage: Eukaryota; Viridiplantae; Streptophyta; Magnoliopsida; Poales; Poaceae. The record is from RefSeq and is a predicted model, not a curated record. The transcript has 2 exons.
UCCUGGUAUCUUAGGUUUCCGAGAAGAUUCUGAACAACAAAGAGCUGGAGUUCUACAAGUGGGAGGGCAAUCUCUCCCAGCUGCUGCAGAACGUCCGCAACAAGCUUAACCAAGUCGCUUCGAGCUGGUCUCGGGAGGAGAAGGACCACUGCCUGGAGGAGAUGGAGAAGUCGUUCUCUUACUCAGGAGGCCUCCUCCGCCAUAUAUUCACAUGAUCUAUCAUUGCCGGUUGAUCCAGUCUCAAACGCUGUAAAUACAUAGUCCUCUUGACUGUUAAAACUUUAUUACUCGUGAGGGGGAUCUCCUCCCCCAGGUACGGUUUACCUGCAUUCAAGUUGCCCAGUGUCUUACUUGAUUUCUGGUGUUUGGUGUUUCUGUGAUGCAAUCUGUAUUCUGUAGGUCGUUUCAUGACUAAUAGAGUCGACCCCUUCCAAUGUCGU